Molecule: ribosomal RNA, 246 nt
Filed under: uncultured bacterium
Lineage: Bacteria
Description: partial 16S ribosomal RNA
Rfam family: Bacterial small subunit ribosomal RNA
Source: RNAcentral
GACGAACGCUGGCGGCGUGCCUAAUACAUGCAAGUUGAACGAAGUUGCUUUAACUGGUGCUUGCACCGACUUAAACAACUGAGUGGCGAACGGGUGAGUAACACGUGGGUAACCUGCCCCAAAGUGGGGGAUAACAUUUGGAAACAGAUGCUAAUACCGCAUAACCACAGAAACCUCAUGGUUUCUGUGUCAAAGAUGGUUUCGGUUAUCACUUUGGGAUGGACCCGCGGCGUAUUAGCUAGUUGG